Long non-coding RNA from Felis catus (domestic cat), 4165 nucleotides. RefSeq lists it as uncharacterized. The record is from RefSeq and is a predicted model, not a curated record. The transcript has 2 exons. NCBI's taxonomy places the organism in Eukaryota, Metazoa, Chordata, Mammalia, Carnivora, Felidae.
GGAGAAUUCUUCAAUUUCAUCAUUUUGGGUAGUCCCUGGGGUGGCUCUAAACUGUAGGGCACUUCCUCUGUAUUGUACAGAGUAACUUGUGUUGGUGGGUGGGGCCACAGUCAGACCUGAUGUCUGCCCCCAGCCCACUGCUGGGACCACAAUCAGACUGGUGUGUACCUUAUCUUCUCCUCUCCCAGGGGCAGAACUCACCGUGGAGUGGUGUGGCUCCUGUCUGGGCUACUUGCAGACUGCCAGGCUUGUGGUUCUGCUUUGAUGGGAUCUGAUGUAUUAGCUGGGGUGGAUCUGCAAGGUGCACAGGGGCAGGAGGGCUAGGCUUAGCUAGCUUUGCUGUCGUUGGUCCCCUGAGGUAGGGGCCCUGCAGCACUGGGAGGGAGGCAUACCCAUCAGAGGGAUGGAUCCACAGAAGCACAGUGUUGGGUGUUUGCACGGUGCAAGCAAAUUCAGUGACAGGAACUGGUUCCCUUUGGAAUUUCGGCUGGGGGGUGGGAGAGGGAGAUGAUGCUUGCCAGCACCUUUGUUCCCUACCAAGCUGAGCUCUGUCUUCCAGGGCUCAGCAACUCUCCCUUUUGGUGUCCUCUCAUCCUCCCCUCUCUCCGAGAGCAGAGCUGUUCACUUUUAACAUUCCAGAUGUUAAGUCCCGCUGGCUGUCAGAACUCCUACAGUCUGGCCCCUCCGCUUUUGCAAGCCAGACUGGGAGCUCUGCCUUGCCGGGUGGGCUGCCCCUCCACUGCCCUGGCUCCCUCCCACGAGUCUGUGUAGCACGCACGGCGUAUCCCCCUUCCUACCUUCUUCUGUGGGCCUCUUGUCUACACUUGGCUCCAAAGAGUCCAUUCUGCUAGUCUUCUGGAGGUUUUCUGGGUUAUUUAGGCAGAUAUGGGUAGAAUCUAAGUGAUCAGCAGGAUGCAGUGAGCCCAGCAUCCUCCUACGUUGCCAUCUUCCCUGACUAAACGUAAAUGCUUUUUGAAGACCCUACUAAGUAUAAUCCACUAAGUAAUUCCUGUUGGCAAUAAAAGGGUGAUUCAAACAGUUGAAACUCUCUUUAAUUUACUCACAUUCGAAUUGUAGAGACACACAAGCAAUGAGAAAAUACCAUAGAGGGCAUUAAGAUGGAGACAUGUGCAGAGAGAGGAUGACAGUUGGUAUUGGGAACUUGAACUCAAAUUGAAUGAGGAACUUCUCACAGCAAAUGAUGCUUCAGCCAAAUCUAGAAAUAUGAUUGUAUACCUAUGUUAACUUGGGGGUGUCUGUAAGAGCAUAUUUUAGUCAGAAGUGAUCGGGUAAAAAGGUUCAAGGUCAUGAAACAGCUGGGGCAGCCAAAAGUAUUUAAAUAUAUCAUUUUAAAUAUUUCUGGGUAUAUUAAAUUAAUACCACAUAGAGUAAUUAAGUAUACCCAGAGUAAUAGUCACGUGAAAGGAGUGCAAAAGAUGGAAAGGGGCAGACGAUGAAAGUCUUGCUUGAUAAAAUAAGUCUUGUUUGAUAAACUAAGUCUUGUUUGAUAAAAUAAGAAAUUUAAAUUUUAUUUUGUGAACAAAAUACUGAAUGAUUUUAAAGGAUCAAAAUGAAGAGACCAGAUUUGCAUAUUUGAAAACCCCUUUUGCCAUCCCGAUCUCAUUAUGAUGCAUGAUUAAAGGUGUGGUAAUGCGGUUGAGGUCUGAGAAAAUAUUAUGGCAAUUUUGGCUGACAAUGAGAGAGAUGGGAAUUGAGAUGAAAGAUAGUAAGACAAUAAGCGAGACUUUCAGAUUUAAUAUGAGUUGACUGUGAGUAAAUAAAUGCACACAAAAUAUCAAUAUUUGAUCUGCGAAAAUACUUCACUGCAAGAUGUUUGAAUAAAAUACUCAUUCCCUGUAAGCAUGCAGGAUUUGGAAAGAAAACUAAGGUGAAUGUGACUGAUCUUGGAAUCCAGAAAUACUCCUCUGUCCUCUGAGGCACAAGAGUGGCAAGAACUAUGGAGAAGGAGUCCUUGGAAUUUGGACAUGCAGCUCAGCAGGCCCAGAAGCCUUCUUCUGCACCAGCAAAAUUCCUUCUUCUGGACUCUGUCUAACACCAGGAUACCCCAGAUGAGGAGAUUCCAGCUGAGGGAAGUCUAAGCAUCACCCUAGAGAGACCAGGAGCAGACUUCUGAGGACCGCCUGUUCUCCGAGGGGAGUUGCUCACAGGAAGGGCUGUUUUCCCCUGAUGAACCAAUUGUGAAUUAAAUAUCCAGUAGCUCAAGAAGAUUUGAAACUAACUCCCACAGAGUACAAACUACCAAAUAGCAAUUCACAGGUAUAUCUAGGUCUUCAGGGGAUGCCCAACCAUACUUAGGACUGACCUGAGUGCAGCUACUUCCCCAGAGAAAAAAGCUUCUACUUUGGAACCGCCACCAGCAAUCAGGCCCCGGAAUUCCUUGUCCUGCAGGACUGAGGAUGGAGUAUCAAAACCCAAAAAGGUUCAAAGUCCCCCCCAAGAGUCUCUGAAGUGAUGUGCAGGAAGAAAAUGGUACAACAUCUGUUUACAUCCAUUCGUAUUCAAUAGACUAAAAAGGAAUACAGUUUAAUAAUACAUGAUAUGUGAUUGGCAGUGGUAUCCCCACUUGGUCCAUGUGUAACUUAAGGUAAAAGUGUGCCCUGAUGGGAGAAGAUACAUUCCACAACUUAAAGGGGUCAACAGCUGCACCCCUACACACCUCUUUAAGCUCACAGUGUGGUUCAUAUGCUUGGUUAUGUUUGUUUAUUAAUUUGGUAUCAUAACAAGUAGACUCUAAUGCUUAAAUUUGUAAUGACAUAGGUGUGACCAUAGAAACCCAUUUUAUGUAUUUUGUUUUGUUUCGUUUUGUGCAACAUAGUUGUCUUAUUAUCUUUUGGCAAAGAACCUAAAAGAGUAACAGUGUUCUUUCACUAAAUGACAAGUACUCCAAAUUUGGUGACCUUUUCUGUGAUGACAAGUAACUGUCGAUAGAUGCCACCUAACAGAGAUCCUCAAAAAAGAUAAAGACACUUAUUGUCUCCUUUCAAGGUAAAGGUGACAUUCUAACAAUGAGUGAAAAAGUAACUGUUUUCUGUUUUCUUUUCUUUUAUUUUUAAUCCUGUAUGGGAAAAGAAUGUUGAAAAAUGGAUGUUUGUAGGUGUUUAUAUCAUUGUUGUCAAAAAUGAUGUCUCAGACUUAAAUUUCUAUCUUACACUGAAACAGAAUUCUCUAACCUAUUUUGAGAUCUUCCAAAUGAAGCGUUUCAGUGGUUUUUGAAACCAUUUGAUAAAAAAUUUUAAGAAAGAAAAUCCCUUCUGACUACAUUACAAAAAAAUCGAUUUUGACAUCAGGGAAAGGGAGAAUUGAUUAAUUUUAACAAUAAAAUUGAAUGAGAAAUGUUGUGAAUGGGAUUAAGAAAUUAAUAUGAUUUAGAAAGUGUGCUCAAUGUUGCACUUCCUCUGUUGGAUCACAGAUCUUCUGAGAAAUAUCUUCCAUACGUGAUAGUCAUAAAAACCAAGUAGCACAAUAAAAUGAACACACUAGACCUUUAAUUUCUGCCACAUAAAGCAGGAAGCCAAAAAUGUAUUCAAAUGAUGAAGAAUUUUAUCACCUCACAAUGCUAAAACUGUUACUAAUAAUAAUUUAUUGAGCCCUUUAAUACAUAUUUUUCUUUGAUUAAUAUAGUUUAAAUAUUUAAAUAUUCCUCAUUAAUUGUUAUUAUAUAUUUUAUACAGUGUCUAGUUUGGUAAAUAGUUUUCAGUGUACCUAAUACCUAGUUCCAUAUUACAUAUGUGUGUAUGUUGUUUGUGUGUACAUCUGUAUAUGUAAAGAGAGGGAGAUAACUAAAAAAUUAUGCAGGAAUGCCCCUGGGUCACAUCCAUGAGAUCCAGAAUAACUGGACAUAGCUUUUGAACCACAACUUGAAACAGGGGCCCUGAGGCUGGCUCAUGUCUAUAUCCAUAGUGUUAAGCACAAAGCCUGGCUAUAUUGAAUAAAUGAUAAAAGAAUGAACAUUUCAUGGUGGCCAGAGGUUUGAAUUGUUCUCAUAUGAAAAUAAUAAUUCAUGAGUUCUUUCAAAAAAUGUUUUAAUCCAAGCAUGUCUACACAGAGCAGUGAAAUAAAAUUGCAAAAUAUUUAUGCAUUAAAAAAAAAAACAAAACUGUUAGACCUGAAAAACAGAGCCUGAUGUUUCUGUUACCAACCACUA